This 785-nucleotide long non-coding RNA is filed under the name Homo sapiens (human). RNAcentral's name for it is "HSALNT0225734". Lineage: Eukaryota; Metazoa; Chordata; Mammalia; Primates; Hominidae. The record is from RNAcentral.
UGCUGUUCGAGUCUGCUAGCUUGUGGAGGCCACACGGGAAGCCUGAGAACACAUAAAGCCCGGAAGAGACUCCUUCCUCACCCCAGAGCCUUCAGUGGUCCUCACAGGAGACCCUCUUCAUGAGGAACACUUUCACAGUGCCAUAGACAGGGGCCUGUGACAUGGCUUCAGGGAGUGGCAGGGCUGCUACUCACUAGCUGUGUGAUACAAGGAAGUCCGUGGCCAUCUCUAGGGACAGGUGUGCAUCCAUAAAGUGAAGUGAUCCAAUGGCAGCAGACAAGGUGAGGCUCGCAAGGUAUAAAUAUGCAGAGUGCCCACACAGGGCCUGGUCGCCAUUGGGAUCUGCCUGCCUUAAGUGUCCUCACCACCAGGAAAGUGACCAGCCCCCCUCCAUGACCACAACUUGGGGCCACCAUGUAGUGAAGGCUUCCAGCAACCUCAAGUUCCUGUUACUUGUCUUGGUGAUGUAGAUGCGUUUUCCAUAAGCUGCCUUAAAAAUCCUUUUUGAAGCCAAGUCGGGGUGUAAGUUACAUAGGCUUCUCUAAGAAGUUCUGAACGCAAAUUACAAACCAGCUCAGAAGUGAAAAACCCGAACCUCAUGAACGUGGUCAUCAUGCUGCUCAUGCACUUCAGCCUCCCCAGGAAAGAAAUGAAGACAGGCUUUGCUCUCAGACACAAUGAAGGGACAGCAGUUGUGACCUCCAGAGAAGCCAUGGCCGCAGCCUCAUGGAGAUGCUCCUCCUACCUGAGACAGAUUCUACAGGCAAAGAGCCUCCCGCCAUCAU